RNA transcript from Perognathus longimembris pacificus (Pacific pocket mouse), 2303 nucleotides. It is a transcript of the gene named major facilitator superfamily domain containing 3, with no coding region annotated. The record is from RefSeq and is a predicted model, not a curated record. Lineage: Eukaryota; Metazoa; Chordata; Mammalia; Rodentia; Heteromyidae. The transcript has 7 exons.
CGCCAGGGCGCUACUGCGGACCAGACCAAGAGGAAGGCUGCGCGUGAGCCGCCCGCCCGCGGGCCCUCCCAGGCCCCCGGGCCUGGCGUCCCCGAUCCCGGGCUGCGGCGUCCUGGGGGGCGGGUCCUGGCGGACUCACCCCCGUCUGGAUCCCUCGUGAACGGGCCUGCGCCGUCAGGCCUCCUCCUGGAGGCCGGCCGCCAUGCGCGCGAAGCUGCUGCCGCUGGCCGGCCUCUACCUGGUGCAGGGCCUCCCCUAUGGGCUGCAGUCCGGCCUGCUGCCCCUCCUGCUGCGGGCCCGUGGCCUCUCCUUGACGCGCGUGGGCAUGGCCAAAGGACUGUACACACCGUGGCUGUUCAAACUGGCGUGGGCCCCGCUGGUGGACAGGCGAGGCUCCCCGCGAGCCUGGCUUGCCCUCAGCACGGGGGCCCUGGGCCUGGUGUGUGGGCUGUUGGCUGCAGUGCCUCCCACUCAAACUGGCCAGGUGGGCCUCCCCACCACUGUGAUGGGAUUGCUGCUGCUGCUGAACCUAGGUGCAGCUGUUCAGGAUGUGGCCCUCGACACUGUGGCCGUACUGCUUCUGGAGCCAAGGGAGCUGGGACCCGGCAAUACUGUGCAGGUGGUGGCUUACAAGCUGGGGGCAGCACUGGCUGGGGGAGGGCUACUGAUCCUCUUGCCCAACCUCUCCUGGCCUCUGCUCUUCCUGCUGUUGGCUGCCACCUACUGGCUGGCUGCUGCGCUGGCCUGGGCUGCACCAGCCUUGCGACAGCUACCCUGGCCUCUGCCCUCGGAGCACACCCACCACCUGCAGGAUUUGAUGGCUGUGCCUGGGACCUUGUGGACAGCAGGCUUUGUACUCACCUACAAGCUGGGUGAACAGGGUGCUGCCAGCCUGUUUCCACUUCUCCUGCUGGACCGAGGUGCCUCUGCUCCAGAACUGGGGCUGUGGAAUGGCUUUGGUGCUGUGGCUUGCUCCAUUGCUGGCUCCUCCUUGUGUGGGACCCUACUGGCCCGGCACUGGCAGCCACUUUCCCUGUUGAAGUCAGUGCUGUGGUUACGGCUUGGGGGCCUGGCCUGCCAGACUGCCCUGCUCUUUCAUCUGGACACUGGAACAGCCCUGAGAGGGAUGGCCUUGCUGAGCCUGUGUCUGCAGCACUUCCUGGGGGGCCUGGUCACCACAGCCACCUUCACUGUGAUGAUGCGCUGCAGCCAGCUGGCACCCAGGACGCUGCAGGCCACACAUUACAGCCUCCUUGCCACCCUGGAGCUUCUGGGCAAGCUGCUGUUGGGGGCCUUGGCAGGAGUCCUGGCGGAUGGCCUCGGCCCACAGCCCUGCUUCACCAUCUUCCUCACACUCUCAGUCCUACCACUUCUGGACCUGGGCCUGGCACCCAGCACCCUGGCCUGCGUUAGACCGCAGGACUGUCAAUAAAUUCCAGUGCGCAUGGCUUGGAUGUCUGGAGCUUGACCAGAUACUGCUGACUUUGCUUUAUUAUUAGCUGGCUUCCCCUAGGGUGGAACCCCACUGCCUAGGCACGGGGACAGGAGCUGACGGGUGUCACGGCGGAUCUGGUCUUCCCAGUCCUGGAGCUGUGGGUGGACAGUACACCAUUUCCUCGAGUCCCCAGGACACUGCCUCCACAGCCAAGCUUGUAGCAGUCUGAAGCCUCAAGCUAGGCCGAUGGAGAGCCCGCUUCACAGAGGCCAGCUCCCAGCCCAUUGAGUCCACAAGCUCCACCACAUCGAAGUCCAGGGAGCUACUGUCCUCACUCGUGUCUUCAGGUGGCCACCUGGCCCAGCACGCAGCUACAAGGGGACACCUGCCCAGAGGAAAGUGGUAUGUGGUUAGCUGUCCUGGUUCUUUGUUCUUAACAUCAAGGGGAUGGGGCGUGCUCACUUGUGGGCCAGGGCCUGAAGCUGGGUGCGGCCCCCAGGGCAAUGCAGAUGGCAACGGGCGUAGACAGCUGGCAGCAGUUCCAGCCAGUGCCGUGGGUGCAGCUCCAGGUAACACAGCAGAGUCUCAAUGGCUGUGGGCAAAGCAGGGCUCAGUGCCGGUGGGGGCAGCCUUUCCACGCACCCCACAUCUUUCCUGGCUCCUCACCCUCCUCUGGCAUGUCCAAGACCUCUACUAUUGGCUGCAUGGGGAGUGCCCGCUCAUGGCCUGGGCAUGCUGGUCCUGGCACAGGAGCUGCUUGUUGGCCACUGGGCUUGGCCUCCCGAAGUGAGGACUCAGCGGUAGGCUUCACGCCGAUACUGCCCUCGCCCUGCUCUGGGGGCAGCCAUGUGCAGGUGCAGGGUGGGAA